Molecule: ribosomal RNA, 253 nt
Filed under: uncultured bacterium
Lineage: Bacteria
Description: partial 16S ribosomal RNA
Rfam family: Bacterial small subunit ribosomal RNA
Source: RNAcentral
UACGGAGGAGGCAAGCGUUAUCCGGAAUUAUUGGGCGUAAAGCGUCCGUAGGUGGUUUAGUAAGUCUGCUGUUAAAGCGCGGGGCUUAACUCCGUAUCGGCAGUGGAAACUACUAGACUAGAGUGUGGUAGGGGUAGAGGGAAUUCCCAGUGUAGCGGUGAAAUGCGUAGAUAUUGGGAAGAACACCGGUGGCGAAGGCGAGUCUCUGGACGACACCUGACACUGAGGCACGAAAGCUAGGGGAGCAAACAGG